This 447-nucleotide ribosomal RNA is filed under the name uncultured bacterium. RNAcentral's name for it is "bacterial SSU rRNA". It matches the Rfam family "Bacterial small subunit ribosomal RNA", at positions 355 to 825 of the family's 1533-position model. The record is from RNAcentral.
UCGGGAAUUUUGGGCAAUGGGCGAAAGCCUGACCCAGCAACGCCGCGUGAAGGAUGAAGUAUUUCGGUAUGUAAACUUCGUAAGAAUAGGAAGAAUAAAUGACGGUACUAUUUAUAAGGUCCGGCUAACUACGUGCCAGCAGCCGCGGUAAUACGUAGGGACCAAGCGUUGUUCGGAUUUACUGGGCGUAAAGGGCGCGUAGGCGGCAUGACAAGUCACUUGUGAAAUCUCUGGGCUUAACCCAGAACGGCCAAGUGAUACUGUCACGCUAGAGUGCAGAAGGGGCAAUCGGAAUUCUUGGUGUAGCGGUGAAAUGCGUAGAUAUCAAGAGGAACACCUGAGGUGAAGGCGGGUUGCUGGGCUGACACUGACGCUGAGGCGCGAAAGCCAGGGGAGCAAACGGGAUUAGAUACCCACGUAGUCCCUGAGCGGGCUGGCAAGGCGCAU